RNAcentral lists this ribosomal RNA (585 nucleotides) under Triticum aestivum (bread wheat). RNAcentral's name for it is "partial small subunit ribosomal RNA". Lineage: Eukaryota; Viridiplantae; Streptophyta; Magnoliopsida; Poales; Poaceae. The record is from RNAcentral.
AUGCCUCCUUGGGAGCGCUUUCGCGAGCUCUGCCUCCUUCGUUUUGGGCCACCGAUCCGCGGGAGCCGCCAGGCAGAGCUAGGCCGCCUUCCCUUCACCUCCACGGUUCAGGACUUCGCCGACCGUUUCCAGGCCCUGGCAUGCCACAGGUCGGGCGUGACGGUGCAGCAGCGGGCCGACCUCUUUGUCGGUGGACUUCCGGAUCACAUCCGCGUGGACGUGGAGCUUCGGGGACCCCAGGAUCUCCAGACGGCCAUGUACUACGCCCGCGCGUUCGAGCGCCGCGCGGUGGCCAUUCAGCAGGCAUCACCGUCCCGGGCCGCUGGGCCGCUACCUUGGCCGGAUGUUCCCCCGCAGGGUCGGCCUGCUCAGGCUUACGCGGCACGCCCGUUCCGCCGGCUCACCUCGGCCGAGCUACUCGAGCGUCGCCACCAAGGGUUGUGCUUCAACUGCGACGAGCCCUACACGCCCGGCCACGUCUGCUCGCGACUCUUCUACCUGAAGGCUGCAGACUACAUUGAGAAGGACGCCAUCGCCACCGAUCUGGUCGCCCCAGCUGUCGCGAAGGUGUUUGACGCUGGUUGA